RNAcentral lists this transfer RNA (77 nucleotides) under Bifidobacterium asteroides. RNAcentral describes it as "tRNA-Leu". It matches the Rfam family "tRNA". From Rfam's summary of the family: Transfer RNA (tRNA) molecules are approximately 80 nucleotides in length. Their secondary structure includes four short double-helical elements and three loops (D, anti-codon, and T loops). Lineage: Bacteria; Bacillati; Actinomycetota; Actinomycetes; Bifidobacteriales; Bifidobacteriaceae. RNAcentral also lists the same sequence under 8 other names. The record is from RNAcentral.
GCCCCCGUAUCCCAAUUGGUAGAGGAAACGGCCUCAAAAUCCGUGCAGUGUGAGUUCGAGUCUCACCGGGGGCACGA